RNAcentral lists this ribosomal RNA (253 nucleotides) under uncultured prokaryote. Its description in RNAcentral is "partial 16S ribosomal RNA". It matches the Rfam family "Bacterial small subunit ribosomal RNA", at positions 524 to 776 of the family's 1533-position model. The record is from RNAcentral.
UACGUAGGCAGCGAGCGUUGUUCGGAGUUACUGGGCGUAAAGGGUGUGUAGGCGGUUCUUUAAGUUUGGUGUGAAAUCUCCCGGCUCAACCGGGAGGGUGCGCCGAAUACUGAGGGACUCGAGUGCGGGAGAGGAAAGUGGAAUUCCUGGUGUAGCGGUGAAAUGCGUAGAUAUCGAGAGGAACACCUGCGGCGAAGGCGGGUUGCUGGGCUGACACUGACGCUGAUGCGCGAAAGCCAGGGGAGCGAACGGG